This 472-nucleotide ribosomal RNA is filed under the name uncultured bacterium. RNAcentral describes it as "partial 16S ribosomal RNA". It matches the Rfam family "Bacterial small subunit ribosomal RNA", at positions 330 to 794 of the family's 1533-position model. The record is from RNAcentral.
GCCAGACUCCUACGGGAGGCAGCAGUGGGGAAUCUUCCGCAAUGGGCGCAAGCCUGACGGAGCAAUGCCGCGUGAACGAAGAAGGUCUUCGGAUUGUAAAGUUCUGUCCUUAUCGAAGAGAGGGUAUAGAGUGAAAAAUGAUAUACUAGGACGGUAGAUGAGGAGGAAGCCCCGGCUAACUACGUGCCAGCAGCCGCGGUAAUACGUAGGUGGCGAGCGUUAUCCGGAAUGAUUGGGCGUAAAGGGUGCGUAGGCGGUCGAUUAAGUCUGGAGUGAAAGGUACCGGCUCAACCGGUAUAGGCUCCGGAAACUGAUGGACUGGAGUACAGGAGAGGGUGGCGGAACUCCAUGUGUAGCGGUAAAAUGCGUAGAUAUAUGGAAGAACACCGGUGGCGAAGGCGGCCGCCCGGACUGUAACUGACGCUGAGGCACGAAAGCGUGGGGAGCAAAUAGGAUUAGAUACCCGCGUAGU